GCAUAUCAAUAAGCGGAGGAAAAGAAACUAACAAGGAUUCCCCUAGUAACGGCGAGUGAAGAGGGAAGAGCCCAAGAUUGAAAGCUGGCGUCUUCGGCGUCCGCAUUGUAAUCUCAAGAAGUGUUUUCCGCUUCGGACCAUGCCUAAGUCCCUUGGAAAAGGGCAUCAUAGAGGGUGAUAAUCCCGUACAUGGCAUGGAGCGCCCGAAGCUUUGUGAUACGCUUUCUAAGAGUCGAGUUGUUUGGGAAUGCAGCUCAAAAUGGGUGGUAAAUGCCAUCUAAGGCUAAAUAUUGGGGAGAGACCGAUAGCGAACAAGUACAGUGAUGGAAAGAUGAAAAGAACUUUGAAAAGAGAGUUAAACAGUACGUGAAAUUGCCAAAAGGGAAGGGUAGGAGGUCAGAGAUGCGUUCUGGGAUUCAGCCUUGCUUUUGCUUGGUGUUUUUCCCAGUUUGCAGGCCAACGUCGGUUUUGGGCGCUGGAGAAGGGUGGAAGGAAUGUGGCACCCCUCGGGGUGUGUUAUAGCCUUCUACUGGAUACAGUGACCGAGACCGAGGACAGCAGCGUACUCGCAAGAGCGGGCCUUCGGGCACCUUUACGCUUAGGGCGUUGGCAUAAUGGCCCUCUACCACCCGUCUUGAAACACGGACCAAGGAGUC
This 656-nucleotide ribosomal RNA is filed under the name Ustilago shanxiensis. Its description in RNAcentral is "LSU rRNA". It matches the Rfam family "Eukaryotic large subunit ribosomal RNA", at positions 38 to 675 of the family's 3401-position model. Lineage: Eukaryota; Fungi; Basidiomycota; Ustilaginomycetes; Ustilaginales; Ustilaginaceae. The record is from RNAcentral.